This 163-nucleotide ribosomal RNA is filed under the name uncultured bacterium. RNAcentral describes it as "partial 16S rRNA". It matches the Rfam family "Bacterial small subunit ribosomal RNA", at positions 355 to 511 of the family's 1533-position model. The record is from RNAcentral.
UAGGGAAUCUUCCACAAUGGGNGCAGCCUGAUGGAGCAACACCGCGUGAGUGAAGAAGGGUUUCGGCUCGUAAAGCUCUGUUGUUAAAGAAGAACACGUAUGAGAGUAACUGUUCAUACGUUGACGGUAUUUAACCAGAAAGUCACGGCUAACUACGUGCCAG